Podarcis lilfordi (Lilford's wall lizard) is the source of this 394-nucleotide non-coding RNA. The record is from the annotation of a GenBank genome assembly. Lineage: Eukaryota; Metazoa; Chordata; Lepidosauria; Squamata; Lacertidae.
UACCACUGUACUCAAAUUAUCACACAAGGAACUUGUCACUUUUUUCUGGUAGUGGCAAGAUUGCCUAUAGCAUGAGACUAAAAAAGGAAGCUCACCUAUAGAUCACACAGUGGAAGCAGAAUGUAUAAACUGCUUUAUCUGAGAAGCUAAGAGAAUACAUGCCCUGAAUCGAUGCUUCGGAUAUGGAUGGUUUUGUUGAAAUACGGCACCUUUUUUUUAAUAAAACAUUCAAUUGAGCUUCUCGGACGACUGGCGCCCACAAACUACGUGUAUGGAUUUAUGGGAGAAUUUGACACUAUAAUAGUCUUCUGCUCUGGGGGUGGGUGGGGAGAAACCAAUUGUUUUGAUAAUAUUUGUGUUUAUAUUCUUUUCUUGAAAAUGAAUAAAAUGCUUU